RNAcentral lists this ribosomal RNA (429 nucleotides) under Bacillota bacterium. RNAcentral describes it as "Firmicutes bacterium partial 16S ribosomal RNA". It matches the Rfam family "Bacterial small subunit ribosomal RNA", at positions 355 to 776 of the family's 1533-position model. The record is from RNAcentral. Lineage: Bacteria; Bacillati; Bacillota.
UAGGGAAUCUUCGGCAAUGGACGGAAGUCUGACCGAGCAACGCCGCGUGAGUGAAGAAGGUUUUCGGAUCGUAAAGCUCUGUUGUUAGAGAAGAACGUUGGUAGGAGUGGAAAAUCUACCAAGUGACGGUAACUAACCAGAAAGGGACGGCUAACUACGUGCCAGCAGCCGCGGUAAUACGUAGGUCCCGAGCGUUGUCCGGAUUUAUUGGGCGUAAAGCGCGCGCAGGCGGUUCUUUAAGUCUGAAGUUAAAGGCAGUGGCUUAACCAUUGUACGCUUUGGAAACUGGAGGACUUGAGUGCAAAAGGGGAGAGUAGAAUUCCAUGUGUAGCGGUGAAAUGCGUAGAUAUAUGGAGGAACACCGGUGGCGAAAGCGGCUCUCUGGUCUGUAACUGACGCUGAGGCUCGAAAGCGUGGGGAGCAAACAGG